CGGAGGAAAAGAAACUAACUAGGAUUCCCUCAGUAGCGGCGAGCGAAGCGGGAAAAGCCCAAGAUGAAAAGCCUGCGUGCAGGCGUUGUAUUUUGAGCGUCCUUUGGAGUGUCAGUGUGGGUAAGUCGCAUGGAAAUGCGUGCCGUGGAGGGUGAGAGUCCCGUCCGUCCCACACAGGACACGCCGUACGAGGGCGUUUCAGGCGAGUCGGGUAGCUUGGGAAUGCUGCUCUAAUUGGUGGUAAAUCUCAUCAAAGGCUAAAUAUGGGCUGGAGACCGAUAGCGAACAAGUACCGUGAGGGAAAGAUCAAAAGCACUUUGAAAAGAGGGUGAAAAGAACCUGAAACCGUCAUGGGGGAAGCGGAUUGCGUUGGAUUGAUGGGCGCUGUGUGUGUUCAGCCCUUUUUGGGUGCAAUGGCAUCAGUGCUUAUCCGCCGUGGGUUUUCGGGGGUUGAUAUUGAACCCCUGGAGGCUGAGGGAUCCCCUCUUGUAGGGUUGAGGACGGCGGAGCGACGACGCGAUACGACCCGUCUUGAAACACGGACCAAGGAGUCUAGCGCGGAUGCGAGUCAAAGGGUGUGAAAGCCUGUGGGCGCAGUGAAAGCGACUUGUUGCAAAACGAGCAGUUUGAGGCGGCAUAAGAUCGUUGAUCUUAAGACUGACCUAGAGCAUUUGCGCUGGGACCCGAAAGAUGGUGAACUAUGCCGGAGUAGGGCAAAGCCAGAGGAAACUCUGGUGGAGGCUCGUAGCGGUGCUGACGUGCAAAUCGCUCGUCAAACUUGGGUAUAGGGGCGAAAGACUAAUCGAACCAUCUAGUAGCUGGUUCCCUCCGAAGUUUCUCUCAGGAUAGCGGGCCGACAAAGAGUUGUUCUGUGCGGUAAAGCGAAUGAUUAGCGUAUUUGGGGACAUCUAGUCUUCGGGCGAUUCUCAAACUUUAAAUGCGCAGGGGUGUCGCUGCUUGGUUGAGCGGCACCGGUAAAAACGUCGGCCCUGUGGGCCACUUUUGGUAAGCAGAACUGGCGAUACGGGAUGAACCGUAAGUAUGGUUAAGGCGCCAAACUACUCGCUUAUAGAUCCCACAAAAGGUGUUGAUUCAUCGAGACAGCAGGACGGUGGCCAUGGAAGUCGGAAUCCGCCAAGGAGUGUGUAACAACUCACCUGCCGAAUGAAUUAGCCCUGAAAAUGGAUGGCGCUUAAGCGGGUGGCCGACACCAUGCCGUCUGAGCAAGUUUCAGUUUCAGAUGAGUAGGAGGGCGUGGGGGCCGUGUCGAAGCAUGCGUGCAAACGCGUGUGGAACGGCCUCUAGUGCAGAUCUUGGUGGUAGUAGCAAGUAUUCAAGCGAGAUCCUUGAAGGGCGAAGCGGGGAAGGGUUCCACGCGAACAUUGAUUGGGCGUGGGUGAGUCGUUCCUAAGCCGAGUGGCGAUUGCUAAGUACCGGCGAAAGGGAAGCGGGUUGAAAUUCCCGCACACGGAUGUGGAAGCGGUGACGCGACUGAUGGGGCGAAGACGCUGGCGACGGCGCUGGGCAGAGUUGUCUUUUCUGUUUGACCAGGUUUGUGUGCGCUGUGUGGAAUCCGCUUGUCGGGAGAAACACGCGUGUACGGGCAGAGCGCCGGGGCUUUUCCGGCGUCCAGCUCGCCGUCGACGGCCCUUGAAAAUUUGCCUGCUGAAAUUGAAAUCCACGCCGUGGCGUACCGAUCACCGCAUCAGGUCCCCAAGGUGAACAGCCUCUGCUCAGUAUGAAUAAUGCAGGUAAGGGAAGUCGGCAAAUUAGACCCGUAACUUUGGGAAAAGGGUUGGCUCUAGUGCUGCGUGGGAGUGGUUGCCGGGUGUUUGGGCGCUUUUGCCUCUGACGGCUUUCGGCGCGGGACCCGCAAGGGACCUGUUCUUGGCUGUUGAGUGUGAGAGUGCCUCGCCCGGCGACGCCCACAGCAUGCAGCAGACUAGAACUGCAACGGGCAAAGGGAAUCCGACUGUUUAAUUAAAACAAAGCAUUGCGAGGGCCGUGGCCGGUGAUGACGCAAU
Molecule: ribosomal RNA, 2024 nt
Filed under: Meristotheca odontoloma
Lineage: Eukaryota; Rhodophyta; Florideophyceae; Gigartinales; Solieriaceae
Description: partial 28S ribosomal RNA
Rfam family: Eukaryotic large subunit ribosomal RNA
Source: RNAcentral